Transfer RNA from Aspergillus ruber CBS 135680, 93 nucleotides. It matches the Rfam family "tRNA". From Rfam's summary of the family: Transfer RNA (tRNA) molecules are approximately 80 nucleotides in length. Their secondary structure includes four short double-helical elements and three loops (D, anti-codon, and T loops). Further hydrogen bonds mediate the characteristic L-shaped molecular structure. tRNAs have two regions of fundamental functional importance: the anti-codon, which is responsible for specific mRNA codon recognition, and the 3' end, to which the tRNAs corresponding amino acid is attached (by aminoacyl-tRNA synthetases). tRNAs cope with the degeneracy of the genetic code in two manners: having more than one tRNA (with a specific anti-codon) for a particular amino acid; and 'wobble' base-pairing, i.e. permitting non-standard base-pairing at the 3rd anti-codon position. NCBI's taxonomy places the organism in Eukaryota, Fungi, Ascomycota, Eurotiomycetes, Eurotiales, Aspergillaceae. The record is from Rfam.
GGGUCGGUAGCUCAGUGGUAGAGCAUCAGAUUGCAAUGUGCCAAUAAGUAGCCAAUUAUCUGGUGGUCGCGAGUUCGAUCCUCGCCCGGCCCU